Molecule: long non-coding RNA, 377 nt
Organism: Ipomoea triloba (trilobed morning glory)
Lineage: Eukaryota; Viridiplantae; Streptophyta; Magnoliopsida; Solanales; Convolvulaceae
Exons: 2
Source: RefSeq, a predicted model, not a curated record
GCUUCCUCUGGAAAUUUUUUUUUUCUCUUUCUUCUUCAAACAUUCUUCAAGUGUUCAAGUGAUUCAACAAGCCUAAAGAGGAAAACCUAAUUAAGAAAUUGAGGGGUUUAAUAGAUUUGGAAGGAAUUAGUUCUCAAGAGAAAUAUGAUGAAGUAUGCUGUUAUGAGAGCGAUAGAACGUGAUGCUUUGGAGUAUUUAGAAAUAAAUGUUAUUAAUAUUCAGGACUUUAAUAUGUUUUAUGUUGUUAAAGACUAUGUUGAGGAUUGUAAUUGUCUUUUAUUUUGGUUUUAUUUAAGUUAGCCUUAGCACAUAGGUAUUGUGGUUUCCUAAGUGUGGCGGUAAUGCCCUCAAUAAGAUUUUGAAAAGCUUCCGCAUUC